Molecule: ribosomal RNA, 665 nt
Filed under: Bacillus sp. (in: firmicutes)
Lineage: Bacteria; Bacillati; Bacillota; Bacilli; Caryophanales; Bacillaceae
Description: bacterial SSU rRNA
Rfam family: Bacterial small subunit ribosomal RNA
Source: RNAcentral
UGCAGUCGAGCGGACAGAUGGGAGCUUGCUCCCUGAUGUUAGCGGCGGACGGGUGAGUAACACGUGGGUAACCUGCCUGUAAGACUGGGAUAACUCCGGGAAACCGGGGCUAAUACCGGAUGCUUGUUUGAACCGCAUGGUUCAAACAUAAAAGGUGGCUUCGGCUACCACUUACAGAUGGACCCGCGGCGCAUUAGCUAGUUGGUGAGGUAAUGGCUCACCAAGGCGACGAUGCGUAGCCGACCUGAGAGGGUGAUCGGCCACACUGGGACUGAGACACGGCCCAGACUCCUACGGGAGGCAGCAGUAGGGAAUCUUCCGCAAUGGACGAAAGUCUGACGGAGCAACGCCGCGUGAGUGAUGAAGGUUUUCGGAUCGUAAAGCUCUGUUGUUAGGGAAGAACAAGUACCGUUCGAAUAGGGCGGUACCUUGACGGUACCUAACCAGAAAGCCACGGCUAACUACGUGCCAGCAGCCGCGGUAAUACGUAGGUGGCAAGCGUUGUCCGGAAUUAUUGGGCGUAAAGGGCUCGCAGGCGGUUUCUUAAGUCUGAUGUGAAAGCCCCCGGCUCAACCGGGGAGGGUCAUUGGAAACUGGGGAACUUGAGUGCAAAAGAGGAGAGUGGAAUUCCACGUGUAACGGUGAAAUGCCUAAAGAUUUGGAAG